Molecule: microRNA precursor, 103 nt
Filed under: Marmota monax (woodchuck)
Lineage: Eukaryota; Metazoa; Chordata; Mammalia; Rodentia; Sciuridae
Source: RNAcentral
ACACAGGUCGCCCAGGGAUCUUGUGAUCAUGCAGGUUCUGGUUAAGAGGUUUGUGGAGGGGGCCAGGACCUGUAUUUCUAACAAGCUCCCUGGUGAUCCCUGC